CGACCUCGUUGUGGGUACGUCUACCCGCAAUUCAAAUUCAAAUUAAGAUAUUAAUAUAAUAAAUCUUACUUUGAAAAUAUAUGAAUUCAAGAGAUGAGAAAUAAAAUCCCAUAAACCCUAAGUUUGUUCUUGACUCUAGCACCUCCAAAAACCUUGAUCAAAUAUUGAUCAAGUCACCAAUAAUGCCGCUUCAAUUCACCUGUUAUUGCUACUUCCUUGCACGACCUCCUUGUCUCAAGUCUUUCACCCGGCUGAAUUAAUCUCUAGCGCAUACUUAUUG
Molecule: long non-coding RNA, 280 nt
Filed under: Lathyrus oleraceus (garden pea)
Lineage: Eukaryota; Viridiplantae; Streptophyta; Magnoliopsida; Fabales; Fabaceae
Description: Pisum sativum (pea) long non-coding RNA (PSAT_LNC004102)
Source: RNAcentral